Molecule: long non-coding RNA, 593 nt
Filed under: Felis catus (domestic cat)
Lineage: Eukaryota; Metazoa; Chordata; Mammalia; Carnivora; Felidae
Description: lncRNA (ENSFCAG00000048423.1)
Source: RNAcentral
CUGGCUUGAUGCUGUACUCUGAAUUUUGUCAGUGGAGUUGGUGGAAGGGCAGAACUGAAAUUCACAGAGCAUUUGCAACUUGACAAAAGCAUAAGAGCCUCCUGUAUUCAUCAUCCCAGCCGUUCACCCAGCAGUCUUAGAGGAUAGAAGUCACUACCCUCAGUUUAUGAAAUAAGUUAAGCAAUUUGCCCGAGCUUCUAGGCCCUAAUAAAGGGCAGGGCUGGGUUUGAAACCAAACCCAGUCAGAGUCAAACAUGUUUGCUGCUGCUCAGAAGCAAUUCUCCACCCUGCUCUUCAGCUCUACCCUCAGAGGCAAAAUGGCAGCUCCAAGACAGUGACAUAAGCAUCAGGGCUGGAAUGUGGUCUUCCUGAGGUGCUCUUCACUUCAGGGUCCUUCAAUCAGACAGAUGGUUUGCACCAAGCCCUUCAGCCUCCAAGCCCACCCUGUUCAACUACCAGAUUCUUUGGAGAUACAUAAUCUUGGAUUGCACAACUUGGAAAUACCAGAUGGAAAAGGACAAGCCAGCAACCAGGACACCUGUGUCCAUCUAGUUCAAAGGCUCUGGAAGAAUGUGUACAAACCCACAUCUUAA